GCUGCAACUCGCCUGCAUGAAGUUGGAAUUGCUAGUAAUCGCGAAUCAGAAUGUCGCGGUGAAUACGUUCCCGGGCCUUGUACACACCGCCCGUCACACCAUGAGAGUCGAUAACACCCGAAGCCUGUGAGCUAACCGCAAGGAGGCAGCAGUCGAAGGUGGGGUUGAUGAUUGGGGUGAAGUCGUAACAAGGUAAC
Molecule: ribosomal RNA, 197 nt
Filed under: uncultured bacterium
Lineage: Bacteria
Description: partial 16S ribosomal RNA
Rfam family: Bacterial small subunit ribosomal RNA
Source: RNAcentral